AAUCCAUGUUAUGGGCAUUAGCGAUGUAAACCUUUUAUCAUUCCCAAGCCUCUAAAUAGCAUUCUGAGUCCUGUUGUUCGAAAAUAGUAAUCUCAUCCCUCAGGUU
RNAcentral lists this small nucleolar RNA (106 nucleotides) under Olea europaea subsp. europaea. Its description in RNAcentral is "Plant small nucleolar RNA R71". It matches the Rfam family "Plant small nucleolar RNA R71". Rfam says of the family: R71 is a member of the C/D box family of snoRNAs containing the C (UGAUGA) and D (CUGA) box motifs. Multiple nearly identical copies of this snoRNA have been identified in Arabidopsis, and it is thought to function as a 2'-O-ribose methylation guide for 18S ribosomal RNA. Lineage: Eukaryota; Viridiplantae; Streptophyta; Magnoliopsida; Lamiales; Oleaceae. The record is from Rfam by way of RNAcentral.